This is a long non-coding RNA of Marmota flaviventris (yellow-bellied marmot), 445 nucleotides long. RefSeq lists it as uncharacterized. Lineage: Eukaryota; Metazoa; Chordata; Mammalia; Rodentia; Sciuridae. The record is from RefSeq and is a predicted model, not a curated record.
GGUGUGGGUUGCAUUUCUGUAGGCACACACAUUGCCGUGAGUGCUGCUGCCUGAUGCUUCUGUCAUUGAAGUCUGGUCUCCAAGCCACUGUCCCAAGCCAGCAUGACUCCAGCUGCCUGGAAUUCCAUUCAUCUCUUUGGGAAGGGACGUCAGCGGCUGUCAAUUCCCUGCUAAGGUCCUUGGCUAUCAGGCUGGCCCUGAGACCAAGAAACAGCUCUCUAGGUAGACAUGGUGGUGGACUCCAGAGCAUUGUACCUCUCCUGCCAGAAUGGAAGCAACACAGGAGAACUGAUUCAGUGUGAGUUCUUGAAAUUCCUCCAAAAAUGAAAUGAUGACACCACCCCCCCCCCCUUUUUUUUGCCGGAAGGAGCCAUCUAACCCAACCAUUCAGUUAACAGGCAAAGAAAUUGUUUCAAAGAGAUGACGUGACUUAAAGAAGUUCAUA